RNAcentral lists this ribosomal RNA (147 nucleotides) under Metarhizium lepidiotae. RNAcentral's name for it is "5.8S ribosomal RNA". It matches the Rfam family "5.8S ribosomal RNA". From Rfam's summary of the family: 5.8S ribosomal RNA (5.8S rRNA) is a component of the large subunit of the eukaryotic ribosome. It is transcribed by RNA polymerase I as part of the 45S precursor that also contains 18S and 28S rRNA. Functionally, it is thought that 5.8S rRNA may be involved in ribosome translocation. The record is from RNAcentral. RNAcentral also lists the same sequence under 1 other name. Lineage: Eukaryota; Fungi; Ascomycota; Sordariomycetes; Hypocreales; Clavicipitaceae.
CAACAACGGAUCUCUUGGUUCUGGCAUCGAUGAAGAACGCAGCGAAAUGCGAUAAGUAAUGUGAAUUGCAGAAUUCAGUGAAUCAUCGAAUCUUUGAACGCACAUUGCGCCCGUCAGUAUUCUGGCGGGCAUGCCUGUUCGAGCGUC